This 71-nucleotide transfer RNA is filed under the name Ovis aries (sheep). It matches the Rfam family "tRNA". From Rfam's summary of the family: Transfer RNA (tRNA) molecules are approximately 80 nucleotides in length. Their secondary structure includes four short double-helical elements and three loops (D, anti-codon, and T loops). The record is from Rfam by way of RNAcentral. Lineage: Eukaryota; Metazoa; Chordata; Mammalia; Artiodactyla; Bovidae.
UCUUGGUGGCUCAGAUGGUAAAGCAUCUGCCUGCAAUGUGGAAGACCCAGGUUCCAUCCCUGGGUCAGGAA